CCUACGGGAGGCAGCAGUGAGGAAUAUUGGUCAAUGGACGCACGCCUGAACCAGCCAUGCCGCGUGCAGGAAGACGGCCCUAUGAGUUGUAAACUUCUUUUGUACGAGGGUAACCGCAGAUACGCGUAUCUGUCUGAAAGUAUCGUACGAAUAAGGAUCGGCUAACCCCGUUCCAGCCGCCGCGGGAAUACGGAGGAUUCAAGCGUUAUCCGGAUUUAUUGGGGUUAAAGGGUGCGUAGGCGGGCGGAUAAGUUCGGGGUGAAAUCCCGAGGCUCAACUUCGGAUUUGCCGCUGAUACUGGUCGGCUAGAGAGUAGUAGCGGUAGGCGGAAUGUAUGGUGUAGCGGUGAAAUGCUUAGAGAUCAUACAGAACACCGAUUGCGAAGGCAGCUUACC
Molecule: ribosomal RNA, 395 nt
Filed under: uncultured bacterium
Lineage: Bacteria
Description: partial 16S ribosomal RNA
Rfam family: Bacterial small subunit ribosomal RNA
Source: RNAcentral